GUUCUGACGUGCAAUCGAUCGUCAAAGUUGGGUAUUAGGGGGCGAAAAGAACUUAAUUCGAACCCAUUAACAGAAGGUAUACGUAUAUAUUAUAUACUACUUAUUCUAAUUUUGUUAAGUUCCUGCUUUGCAGCUAUAGGUAUAUCUAAGACGUUUCAGCUUCAUACAACCUAGUAUUGAGCUGUUCAUCUAUGGUAUCUCCCAGUAGAAUGUGGACAUGGGUAUUCGGCUAUAAUUCUUUCUUUGUAUGUUAAGAGUGUUACUCCCCAAACAGCCUAUCCGACUGCAAUUUGUUUUGUGGUUGGAGGCCAUAGAUAGAUGUGCUGGAUUACAACAUCCCUUAGCACCGCAAAGGUGGUCAAUAGAAGCGCCUUUCCCUAAGUUAUUGGGUAAAGCGUUUUCAGUUGUUGUUGCGUAAGCAACAUGAUGAGUCCACAGUUUCAGCUGAAGUGUUUUUGUUAAACGCGGUUGCCAUCUCUGGUGACCAUUAGCUUCAGCUUUUAUGUGGACAAGUCUUUGACAACUGAUUCUAGAUUUCCACCAUUCUCCAGAUCUCUCUGGGUUGCGGUUGUUCUGGAGUUGUGUAAUUUUGGUUGGAUCUAUUCCUUUCAAAGAGCCCUCAGGAACUAAUGAGUAUCUCUUCUCGAUCAUUCUAAGGUAUAAAGACUUUCGUCUACUUGGGGUAAGUGAGUUGAGGUAUUCGGACAUUUUGGUAUCUGUAGUGUUUGGUAUAGCUACUAGGUGGUUAAGAGGCGCUCCGCGUCUAGUCCAUUGAAUCUAUGGGCAAGAUCAUCAAAUUGCUGGAACACCCUAAAGACAACAGUACUAACCCGGCCUGGAAACGAGCCGGGGCACAGUGACAAUCUGUUUGUAUGAAGUCGCAAGACGGAAAUGGGCAAUCAGCAGCCAAGUCCUAAGCUUGUGUACAAGUAUGGAUGCAGUUCAGAGACUAGAUGGUGAUCGGUCUUAAUAAAGUUAAGGCUUAAGAUAUAGUCCAGCCCUGCUGAAAGGCAGGCUUGAAGCAAAGCCAGGCGCUGUAGAUUCAGCACAGCGGUUGGCCCGAACUUCGAGGAGUCGUUUGUGACGA
Molecule: ribosomal RNA, 1087 nt
Filed under: Groenewaldozyma auringiensis
Lineage: Eukaryota; Fungi; Ascomycota; Dipodascomycetes; Dipodascales; Trichomonascaceae
Description: partial large subunit ribosomal RNA
Rfam family: Group I catalytic intron (bases 697-1016)
Source: RNAcentral